UGGGGUAUAGCCAAGUGGUAAGGCAACGGACUUUGACUCCGUCAUUCCUAGGUUCGAAUCCUAGUACCCCAGCCA
This 75-nucleotide transfer RNA is filed under the name Brevibacillus fulvus. Its description in RNAcentral is "tRNA-Gln". It matches the Rfam family "tRNA". From Rfam's summary of the family: Transfer RNA (tRNA) molecules are approximately 80 nucleotides in length. Their secondary structure includes four short double-helical elements and three loops (D, anti-codon, and T loops). Lineage: Bacteria; Bacillati; Bacillota; Bacilli; Caryophanales; Paenibacillaceae. The record is from RNAcentral.